CUUUCAGAAACACUGCAAAAAGUCUAUGGCACCGUUGAGUUUUUAUCUUUAUCAAUAAGGCUGCUUCCUGGCCAUCACAGGAUUUUAAUACUAUACUGCUAUUCUUACUGGCUGAACCCACAGCUGGAGUUGCCUCAAAAGUGGUGGCGGGGGAGUUUCCACAAGGGACUGCCCCAAACUGUUCCAGAUAGGGCCAGAUGAGAGUCCAAAAAAAGAGGCACUAAAUGCCAGGGUGAUCAGUCUAAAGGAUUUAUUAGGGGAACUUACACAGGAGGGCUGCAGUUUAUAGGAGGGUUUAAGGAAUUUGGCUCAGGGUUGGGGCUGGUUUCUGUGUGUUUAGCAACAUACUUGAUCUUUUAGUGUUUUGGGCCACAACCUGAACAACUUUAUCAGUGCCUGAGAAUGUUCAAGGCCCCAGUUUGGGUCCAAACCUAUGGUGGAAAACAUGCAGCUGGCUAGGUCACAGAGCGGGACAAGGCACUCUGUUUUUCUAUUGGGACACAGAAAGAAAGCAGGGAGAACUGGGGACCCUACAACUGCCCACUCAACUGUAGAAUUCUAGUCACACAGUUCAAGAAAUUUUUCAAUUUUCAAUUAGUAAUAUGUGAGUUUCCCCAGUAAAAAUUUGUGCAUUCUAAAAGUAAUUAUUUUUGGCCUUUUUAGGGGGAGUACUGUAAAUCAAGAAAAAGUUUUUGUAUGUUAAAAGGGAAAAUGCCUCAUGUUUUUGGGAAAAAUGAAUAGUUCCAGGUUACAGUAGAAAAAUAGCAGUAUAGAAAUAUAGUAAGAAUGUAAAAUUCUGUACUUUUCGAACAUCAUGGUUAAAUGAUAAUUCUUUCCCUUUCCUGCUUUAUGCAGUUAAUAUUUAUUUUCUACUAAUUAAUAAACAUUGUCUUUUAAUGUCCUGAAUGUCCAUCGAGAUUACAACUGUUUAUGAAGAGAUUCUAAUACCAUGUUUUUUGUAAUGUAGGUGAAAAAUGUGGUAUACUUACCUAUGUAUAAUAGUGCAAGCAGCCAUUUCCAAAAACGACUUCCUAUAGGCAAGAGGACUUCUCUUUAUUUUCUGAAUGUUUUACAGUGAACAUAUUGGUUUUGUACUUAAUAACAUCCCGCCUUUUUUUUUUUUUUUUGAGACAGUGUCUCUCUUUGUCACCCAGGCUGGAGUACAGUGGCGUGAUCUCAGCUGACUAUAGCCUCUGCCUCCCGGGUUCAAGUGAUUCUCCUGCCUCAGCCUCCUGAGUAGCUGGGAAUACAGGCAUGCGCCACCACGCCUGGCUGGUUUUUGUAGUGUUAGCAGAGAUGGGGUUUCACCAUGGGGAUGGUCAGGCCAGUCUCGAACUCCUGACCUUGUGAUUGCCCACCUCGGCCUUCCAAAGUGCUGGGAUUACAGGCAUGAGCCACCGCGCCCAGCCAACAUCCUGCCCUUUUAAAAAAUUUCCUUUUAUUAAACAAAUUAAGUUCAUGUAUAGUCUCAAUAAAGCGUUUGCAAAUCCAUUAUAUGCUCCUUGACCAAAAUACAGAUUACAUGUGCACUUAGAAAGAAUUUUUUUUCUUCUAAUAGAGUAAUCUAAAAGUCUAACCUUCUCCAUUUUUAAAAGCUUUAGCCAAUUAUUUAGUAAGCAUUGGUUUGAAAUACAUUCAUGACAUUUCAUAGAGGAGUUAUUUCUUCUCUGGUAUCUGUGAAGGUUUCUUUAUAUCUAUUACAUCAAAUAGUAAGACUUCAAAUUAUUGCCGCUAUGAAGAUACAUCAGUAUUUUAAUGAACUGGCCAGGUUUUUUCCCUUAAUAAGCAAUGAGUAAAAUAAUUUAUUUUGAAAACUCACUACAUUUAUCUCUUUCUUUAAUACGGAAGAAUAAUGCCCUGCACACCUGCCUUAGACUAACUUGAAUCUUUGUUAUACAUCAACCAUAAAGAGUUAUGUUAUUUUGGGCUGGGCACGGUGGCUCAUGCCUGUAAUCGCAGCACUUUGGGAGGCUGAGGCGGGCGAAUCAGUUGGGGUCAGGAGUUCAAGACCAGCCUGGCCAACAUGGUAAAACCCCGCGUCUGCUAAAAGUACAAAAAUUAGCUGGGCAUGGUGGUGCGCGCCUGUAAUCCUACUCGGGAGGUUGACACAAGAGAAUCGCUUGAACCGCAUCCCCCACCCCCCUCUGGGAGGCGGAGGUUGCAGUGUGCUGAGAUCGAGCCACUGCAGUCCGGCUUCUGCCACAGGGUGAGACUCUGUCUC
RNAcentral lists this long non-coding RNA (2221 nucleotides) under Homo sapiens (human). RNAcentral describes it as "HSALNT0159579". Lineage: Eukaryota; Metazoa; Chordata; Mammalia; Primates; Hominidae. The record is from RNAcentral.